This 1015-nucleotide long non-coding RNA is filed under the name Fukomys damarensis (Damara mole-rat). RNAcentral describes it as "lncRNA (ENSFDAG00000033273.1)". The record is from RNAcentral. Lineage: Eukaryota; Metazoa; Chordata; Mammalia; Rodentia; Bathyergidae.
AGGUGGAACUGGUUCUUCUGAGGACUGGCUGCUGGGCUAACAAGGAAGGCUGCCUUGGGAAGGCCCUCCCGAGGACCUAGAGGUCGUCUGGGAACAGAGGUGAGCAGCACUGCAGGUGUGGGGCUCAUGGGUUCAUGUGCGGGAGAAGUCCGGGCCUGCUGCAGAGAGUGUCAGGAAGAGGAAGAAGCCAGAGUGGAGAGCUGCUCUGAAGUGCCAGUCUUUGGGACCAGGUCUGCUCUGCUCCAGAGAGACAGGAGACAGGGUCUCCAGUGCAGUCCUGGGGGACCCAGGGCCUACUCUCCCAGUCACCUCAUACUUUUCCAGACUCGCUCCCUAGCCUUCCAUUACUCAGGAGCCUGUGAUUUGGUAAGCUCCAUAAUUAUCUUAGUUUGACGUAGCAGGAGCUGUUAUUAAUAGUCAGAGAAUGAAUGAUCUGAAUUUCUUUCCUGGGGUGGGGUGGGGGAGUGUGGGAUGAAGGACCCAGCCGGAAAGCUGGGUUCAGCUUUGUCCAGCAGAUGGACUGCAGGGGUGUGGUGGCCAGGGAAUUUAGUAGUCCAGAAAGGUGUUCUCCUGGGAGUUAGGCGAGGGGGUCAGGGGUUAGUGCUCCAAGGUGGAGGGAGAUAAAACGAUGGUGGGGAAACUUGAACUGGAUUGGUGUACCGUCUGUCUGUCCAUACGUGCGUCUACCCACAGAGACACGCGAAGGUGAAGGUGGGAGACGCUCUCAGUGUUCCCACAGCCUCUCUCUCCGCUCCAGGGGCUCUUGGAAGCCUAGGCUGGUCGUCCUCAGAGGGCAGGGCAUGCUCCCAGAUGUGGGUGCUGGGCUCUUUCCUCCAUCUUCAGGUGUGUCCCCUUUCCCGGGAGGCACACUGGGGGGCUACCACCCCAGUUCCCAGUGACGCCUGCUCAGCCACGCCCAGCAGUCUCUGCAGCCCAGCGCCUGCUCUCUCCACCCUGCCUGCCGCCCCUUUCCUCCCCCUUCCAUCCUUUGCACUAUUGAAGUCCCUUUUCUUUG